RNAcentral lists this ribosomal RNA (253 nucleotides) under uncultured bacterium. RNAcentral describes it as "partial 16S ribosomal RNA". It matches the Rfam family "Bacterial small subunit ribosomal RNA", at positions 524 to 776 of the family's 1533-position model. The record is from RNAcentral.
UACAGAGGGUGCAAGCGUUAAUCGGAAUUACUGGGCGUAAAGCGCGCGUAGGCGGCUGAUUAAGUCGGGUGUGAAAGCCCCGGGCUCAACCUGGGAACUGCAUUCGAUACUGAUCGGCUAGAGUAUGGGAGAGGGAGGUAGAAUUCCACGUGUAACGGUGAAAUGCGUAGAUAUCUGGAGGAACACCGGUGGCGAAGGCGGCAUCCUGGACCGAGAUUGACGCUGAUGCGCGAAAGCCAGGGGAGCAAACGGG